CCCAACUAAAAGAUCUUAUUAUAUCUUUAUUAUAAUUCAUUUAUGGCGAGAGCUAAUUAUUCAUGAGUUUUAUAUUAAGUAUUUGUACCCUUGUUAUAUUUUUUGGUUUUAGAAACUGUGUGGUUGUUUCUGAGCGCCGCCAUUUUGUGUCAGUGCGGCCAUCCUGUAACGUGAGAUCGGUCAGGGUUUUUUUUGGUUGUUUGUUCUCUGGAUUUGGAUCUUCCAGCGACGUUGAUGGCGAGCCUUCCCACCUGGAUCAAAAGUGAAAGUGAAACAGUAUCACCAGAUACUACCAGUGGCUUCUUGAACGUAUCCUAAUUCUGCCACACCCUGUGGGUGGUAGGCCGACUGCUGCAAAACAUUCUCACAUUCAGCCCCCCCAGAUCAACACACACACACACACACACACACACAUUCCCCCUUAUGACUCUGACUUGACUUUUGACUUUUUGACUUCAUCGUGUGGAACUGAGAACUGAGUGGCAGGAUAUUUUCCUGAAGAGUAUUGGUUGGAUGCAAAAUUGAUUGUUCUUUUGGCCAUGUUAUAUAAUUGAAUUUGAUUUAGAUAGAGAAUUGUACAAAAGUAAUCUUAAAUUCAGUUUAGAAUUAAGAUUUUGAUAAUUAAUGUGAAACUGAGCAAUUGCAAAUGUGAUACUUUUUUUUUGUGAUUUAAUACAACCAGUGUUAUCAGUGUGAGUGGUCCCAUUGUUUGUGAUUUUGUAUGUAUUAUUAUUUUCUUUAAUACAAAAAGCCGGCAUGUUCCUAAGUUCAA
This is a long non-coding RNA of Dicentrarchus labrax (European seabass), 772 nucleotides long. RefSeq lists it as uncharacterized. NCBI's taxonomy places the organism in Eukaryota, Metazoa, Chordata, Actinopteri, Moronidae. The transcript has 2 exons. The record is from RefSeq and is a predicted model, not a curated record.